AUGAAUCUUGCUCGAACGACAGUAGGAUGCAGUAAAAUUGAGAUCAACUCCGACAACAUUGAGGUCAUGGAAGCUCUUAAAGACGGAAAUUCUUCUUCGGUUGCUAGUGUAAUAUUUGACGAUUGUUAUUUCAUGUCAUUAGAUUUUAAUCAUAUUGUUUAUGAUCAUUGUAAUAGGGAAUCUAACCAGGUAGCUCAUGAAUUGGCGAGGUUAGCUAAAUUUUCUAUCUCUGGUUUUUGGAUGGAUGAUGCCCCUAGUGCGGUCAUUUUGUUGCUUGUAAAUGAUGCCACUAUUUUGGUGAUUGAGUAA
This 309-nucleotide ribosomal RNA is filed under the name Triticum aestivum (bread wheat). RNAcentral's name for it is "partial small subunit ribosomal RNA". Lineage: Eukaryota; Viridiplantae; Streptophyta; Magnoliopsida; Poales; Poaceae. The record is from RNAcentral.